AUUGAACGCUGGCGGCAUGCUUUACACAUGCAAGUCGAACGGUAACAGGUUAAGCUGACGAGUGGCGAACGGGUGAGUAAUGCAUCGGAACGUGCCCGGUCGUGGGGGAUAACGCAGCGAAAGUUGCGCUAAUACCGCAUACGAUCUGAGGAUGAAAGCGGGGGACCGUAAGGCCUCGCGCGAUCGGAGCGGCCGAUGUCAGAUUAGGUAGGUGGUGGGGUAAAGGCUCACCAAGCCAACGAUCUGUAGCUGGUCUGAGAGGACGACCAGCCACACUGGGACUGAGACACGGCCCAGACUCCGACGGGAGGCAGCAGUGGGGAAUUUUGGACAAUGGGCGAAAGCCUGAUCCAGCAAUGCCGCGUGCAGGAAGAAGGCCUUCGGGUUGUAAACUGCUUUUGUACGGAGCGAAAAGGUCUCCUCUAAUACAGGGGGCUCAUGACGGUACCGUAAGAAUAAGCACCGGCUAACUACGUGCCAGCAGCCGCCGUAA
This 493-nucleotide ribosomal RNA is filed under the name uncultured bacterium. RNAcentral describes it as "partial 16S ribosomal RNA". It matches the Rfam family "Bacterial small subunit ribosomal RNA", at positions 29 to 523 of the family's 1533-position model. The record is from RNAcentral.